AUCUUGGAGAGUUUGAUCCUGGCUCAGGACGAACGCUGGCGGCGUGCUUAACACAUGCAAGUCGAACGAAGAGCGAUGGAAGCUUGCUUCUAUCAAUCUUAGUGGCGAACGGGU
RNAcentral lists this ribosomal RNA (114 nucleotides) under Veillonella sp. RNAcentral describes it as "partial 16S ribosomal RNA". It matches the Rfam family "Bacterial small subunit ribosomal RNA", at positions 1 to 107 of the family's 1533-position model. The record is from RNAcentral. Lineage: Bacteria; Bacillati; Bacillota; Negativicutes; Veillonellales; Veillonellaceae.